GACGAACGCUGGCGGCGUGCUUAACACAUGCCAGUCGAACGCUGAAGACCUGUCUUUUGUUGGGUUGGAUGAGUGGCGAACGGGUGAGUAACACGUGAGUAACCUGCCCUCUUCUUUGGGAUAACGCCCGGAAACGGGUGCUAAUACUGGAUAUUCACUGAUCUUCGCAUGGGGUGUGGUGGAAAGGUUUGUUCUGGUGGGGGAUGGGCUCGCGGCCUAUCAUCUUGUUGGUGGGGUGAUGGCCUACCAAGGCUUUGACGGGUAGCCGGCCUGAGAGGGUGACCGGUCACAUUGGGACUGAGAUACGGCCCAGACUACUACGGGAGGCAGCAGUGGGGAAUAUUGCACAAUGGGCGAAAGCCUGAUGCAGCGACGCCGCGUGAGGGAUGGAGGCCUUCGGGUUGUAAACCUCUUUCGCUCAUGGUCAAGCCGCAACUGUGGGUUGUGGUGAGGGUAGUGGGUAAAGAAGCGCCGGCUAACUACGUG
Molecule: ribosomal RNA, 486 nt
Filed under: uncultured bacterium
Lineage: Bacteria
Description: partial 16S ribosomal RNA
Rfam family: Bacterial small subunit ribosomal RNA
Source: RNAcentral